GAUAGUUCGUAAAUAUUUCAAAAAAAAAAAUCAAAUUUCACCAUAACCCAAUUCAACUACUCUCCAUCAAACUCAACAAAUCACGUUUCAAACUUAAACAGUUAACUCUCACAAAUAUUUAUAUGGGUAUGGACACAUACAAUCUAAGCAUAAUUAGUAAUUUUCUUUCUCUCUAAAUUAUGCGCACUUUUUACUUUCCUAAGCAGUUACAAAAAAAAAAAAGAACAAAAAAAAAGAGCGAAAAAACUUAAAAGCUAAUAAAGUACAUAUGUAUUUGUGAGUAAAACACUCACUGUCCCAUAUCUGCGCAAGAGCGUAUGUAAAUACAUAUGUACAUAAAUAAUUGCAGUCUCUCCUAGGCCAAUCUAUGCAGUCGAAUAACAAAAAUAAUGACAAUAUCCGAAAGGCGCGCGUACAUUCCCAUAAAGCAUAGAAAUUAGGUAAGGGGAUUUAUUGUUGUUGGUGAGAGCAAGUUUCAUAAAUUCAAAGGCAGCAAGCAGUCAACACGAGUAUUAUAAUUUAAAAGCAACAACAAGUAUAAAAAAUUGUUCAACACAUUCAUGCCCAUUACAUACAACGGCAUCUGCAUAUCAACCUUGACCUUUUCCAACGAAUGCAUGUAGCGGUGAAUUUAUGUAGGCAUGCAUGCACAACAACUGCACGACAAGCGGCAACUGCUGUCGCUGUUGGAAAUGUGUGCCAUUUUCUAGCUGACGGGAAUACCUGUACAUUAAUACUACUGACCUACUCCAACCUGCCUUCGGGGCCACACAGCACCGUUUCUUGAUACUAUCCAUUUUCAAGCUAUUUAAUGUGAUUACAUGCAUGGUAUGCACACAUAAGUAUUUUUCAGACUUCUUGCGGAAGUUUGCCAAACCAGAGUGCAGUGUAUCGCAUCUUCACGAAUUAGCCAGCCAUCGUCUUUGUGUGUUAAGUGCCGGAAAACAAAAGGAAAAACGUAAUUUACCAUAAAAAUGUUGCAUUGUUUGUUGACCCCAUUUCUCUUCCAUGUAAA
Long non-coding RNA from Anastrepha ludens (Mexican fruit fly), 1015 nucleotides. RefSeq lists it as uncharacterized. Lineage: Eukaryota; Metazoa; Arthropoda; Insecta; Diptera; Tephritidae. The transcript has 3 exons. The record is from RefSeq and is a predicted model, not a curated record.